GCGCUGUGCCCAGUACAAGAAGGAUGGAGCUGACUUCGCCAAGUGGCGUUGUGUGCUGAAGAUUGGGGAACACACCCCCUCAGCCCUCGCCAUCAUGGAAAAUGCCAAUGUUCUGGCCCGUUAUGCCAGUAUCUGCCAGCAGAAUGGCAUUGUGCCCAUCGUAGAGCCUGAGAUCCUCCCUGAUGGGGACCAUGACUUGAAGCGCUGCCAGUAUGUGACCGAGAAGGUAAAUGGCUACCUGCCUGACCAGUGCAAGGUGGCUGGGCGGGGACCCUGGGGCUAACCCCUAUCCUCUCCUCCACCCCACUACCCACCGUGCGCCUGCUCUGCUCCAGGUGCUGGCUGCUGUCUACAAGGCUCUGAGU
This 365-nucleotide small RNA is filed under the name Pan troglodytes (chimpanzee). Its description in RNAcentral is "retained intron". Lineage: Eukaryota; Metazoa; Chordata; Mammalia; Primates; Hominidae. The record is from RNAcentral.